GAUGAACGCUGGCGGCGUGCCUAAUACAUGCCAGUCGAGCGAACAGACGAGGAGCUUGCUCCUCUGACGUUAGCGGCGGACGGGUGAGUAACACGUGGAUAACCUACCUAUAAGACUGGGAUAACUUCGGGAAACCGGAGCUAAUACCGGAUAAUAUAUUGAACCUCAUGGUUCAAUAGUGAAAGACGGUUUUGCUGUCACUUAUAGAUGGAUCCGCGCCGCAUUAGCUAGUUGGUAAGGUAACGGCUUACCAAGGCAACGAUGCGUAGCCGACCUGAGAGGGUGAUCGGCCACACUGGAACUGAGACACGGUCCAGACUCCUACGGGAGGCAGCAGUAGGGAAUCUUCCGCAAUGGGCGAAAGCUUGACGGAGCAACGCCGCGUGAGUGAUGAAGGUCUUCGGAUCGUAAAACUCUGUUAUUAGGGAAGAACAAAUGUGUAAGUAACUAUGCACGUCUUGACGGUACCUAAUCAGAAAGCCACGGCUAACUACGUG
RNAcentral lists this ribosomal RNA (497 nucleotides) under uncultured bacterium. RNAcentral describes it as "partial 16S ribosomal RNA". It matches the Rfam family "Bacterial small subunit ribosomal RNA", at positions 28 to 507 of the family's 1533-position model. The record is from RNAcentral.